GAUGAAGAACGUAGCGAAAUGCGAUACGUAAUGUGAAUUGCAGAAUUCAGUGAAUCAACGAGUCUUUGAACGCACAUUGCGCCCCCUGGUAUUCCGGGGGGCAUGCCUGUCCGAGCGUCAUUGCUGCCCUCAAGCACGGCUUGUGUGUUGGGCCUCCGUCCUCCUCCCGGGGGACGGGCCCGAAAGGCAGCGGCGGCACCGCGUCCGGUCCUCGAGCGUAUGGGGCUUCGUCACCCGCUCUUGUAGGCCCGGUCGGCGCUUGCCGACACAUCAAUCUUUUUUCCAGGUUGACCUCGGAUCAGGUAGGGAUACCCGCUGAACUUAAGCAUAUCAAUAAGCGGAGGA
RNAcentral lists this unclassified non-coding RNA (345 nucleotides) under soil metagenome. RNAcentral's name for it is "partial contains 5.8S ribosomal RNA, internal transcribed spacer 2, and large subunit ribosomal RNA". The stretch from base 1 to 120 matches the Rfam family "5.8S ribosomal RNA", at positions 35 to 154 of the family's 154-position model. The record is from RNAcentral.